CCGAACGAUUAAACUUUCCUUCGGGGAAGAUAUAAAGUGGCGCACGGGUGAGUAACACGUAGGUAAUCUACCUUUGAGUGGGGAAUAACAAUCGGAAACGAUUGCUAAUACCGCAUAAUGCAGCGGCAUCUUAUGAUGACAGUUGUUAAAGGAGCAAUCCGCUUAAAGAGGAGCCUGCGGCAGAUUAGCUUGUUGGUAAGGUAAUGGCUUACCAAGGCUACGAUCUGUAACCGACCUGAGAGGGUGGUCGGUCACACUGACACUGAAUAACGGGUCAGACUCCUACGGGAGGCAGCAGUCGGGAAUUUUGGGCAAUGGGCGAAAGCCUGACCCAGCAACGCCGCGUGAAGGAUGAAGUCUUUCGGGAUGUAAACUUCGUAAGAAUGGGAAGAAUAAAUGACGGUACCAUUUGUAAGGUCCGGCUAACUACGUGCCAGCAGCCGCGGUAAUACGUAGGGACCAAGCGUUGUUCGGAUUUACUGGGCGUAAAGGGCGCGUAGGCGGCAAUUCAAGUCAGCUGUGAAAUCUCCGAGCUUAACUCGGAACGGUCAGCUGAUACUGUUUUGCCAGAGUGCAGAAAGGGCAACCGGAAUUCUUGGUGCAGCGGUGAAAUGCGUAGAUAUCAAGAGGAACACCUGAGGCGAAGGCGGGUUGCUAGGCUGACACUGACGCUGAGACACGAAAGCGUGGGGAGCAACCAGAUUAAAUACCCUGGUAGUCCACGCCGUAAACGAUGGGUGCUAGGUGGCCCGGGCUUUGAUUCUGGCGGGGCCGACUUAAGCAUUAAACCCCCCGCCGGGGAAGAAAGGCGGAAAGGGUAAAACCAAAGGAAUUGGGGGGGGGCCCCCAAAAGCGGGGGAAAAGGGGGGUCAAUUCACCGCACCCGGAAAAACCUUUACUGGG
RNAcentral lists this ribosomal RNA (903 nucleotides) under uncultured bacterium. Its description in RNAcentral is "bacterial SSU rRNA". It matches the Rfam family "Bacterial small subunit ribosomal RNA", at positions 62 to 979 of the family's 1533-position model. The record is from RNAcentral.